This 415-nucleotide ribosomal RNA is filed under the name uncultured bacterium. RNAcentral describes it as "partial 16S ribosomal RNA". It matches the Rfam family "Bacterial small subunit ribosomal RNA", at positions 355 to 762 of the family's 1533-position model. The record is from RNAcentral.
UGGGGAAUUUUGGACAAUGGGCGAAAGCCUGAUCCAGCAAUGCCGCGUGUGUGAAGAAGGCCUUCGGGUUGUAAAGCACUUUUGUCCGGAAAGAAAUCCUUGGCUCUAAUACAGUCGGGGGAUGACGGUACCGGAAGAAUAAGCACCGGCUAACUACGUGCCAGCAGCCGCGGUAAUACGUAGGGUGCAAGCGUUAAUCGGAAUUACUGGGCGCAAAGCGUGCGCAGGCGGUUUGCUAAGACCGAUGUGAAAUCCCCGGGCUCAACCUGGGAACUGCAUUGGUGACUGGCAGGCUAGAGUAUGGCAGAGGGGGGUAGAAUUCCACGUGUAGCAGUGAAAUGCGUAGAGAUGUGGAGGAAUACCGAUGGCGAAGGCAGCCCCCUGGGCCAAUACUGACGCUCAUGCACGAAAGCGU